Musa acuminata subsp. malaccensis (wild Malaysian banana) is the source of this 861-nucleotide long non-coding RNA. RefSeq lists it as uncharacterized. The record is from RefSeq and is a predicted model, not a curated record. NCBI's taxonomy places the organism in Eukaryota, Viridiplantae, Streptophyta, Magnoliopsida, Zingiberales, Musaceae.
AGCGACUAGACCAAACCCUAAGGUGGGUAGUUUUCUACCUCGCCGCCGUGUCUUUCCAGUCUUCGCAUCGCCUCGGUUUCUUUGUUCUCCUCUCCAAAUUAGGUUACGUUCUAUUUGCAAGCGGCGACACCGUUUGUGGAAGAGACAGGUCUUCUGCCGAGUCGCGGUGAAUGCUGCCUGCUCUGCAGGAUGGUUCGCCAUCUUCAAUGAAUCGCAACAGAGAGAAGCUCAAAUGAAAACAGGGUGAUGCUUUAGAAAGAAUUUUCUAGUCAUUCCUAGAGCACACUUCACACAUAGACGUAGAAUCCUUCUUUGGUAGGACUACUAUUGAACUGAAUGUCUAAUGGUCUGUGAGUUAGGAUGUUCAAUUUCUUAACCAUUUCUGGCUAAUAACAUUUGUUUGGCAAACUAACGAUUCCAAGAGCUUACAUGGCAUAUCAAGAGACCUAUUCUUUGAAGAACAUGGGACAGGGUCUCUCGAUGUGAUGAGCAUGUGCAAAAAAUUCCCGGCACUCGCUUUUCAAAGGCGUUACAUCCAUGGUAUAUUUGACUUUACAAUGGAUGUGUCAACGAAAGCGUAAAUUAAUAUGUUUUACUGGCACACGCAGGACUACAUGAACAGAAGCAGGCUGGAUGUGGUUACUAAGUUCCUGCUUGUGGAUAUUUACUAUAUUUUGUGAAGCUUAACACUUUGUAUCCGACAUUGUUAAUUUAUUUCUGGAUGAUGAGAAGUAGAUGCACUUCUAUUAAUUUCAGCUGGUUUAGGACAUAAUACGUGUUAGUUUCCUGUUCUCAGUUUUUUUGUGAGGCAAGGUCUAUUUUAAGUUUUAAGUUUUCUAUUUGGCUGUCAUUGGUAUUUGA